UCACACAAGAAACCCAAAUUAAUUGUACACGGCGUAAAGAGUGGACCCAUGAUUAUCGCAAUAAUUAAGGCUAAAACGUAACUGAGCUGUCAUAAGCUUAAGACACAUUUAAAACCACCCUAAAAACGACCUUAACUCUCACGAUCAAUUAAAUUCCACGAAAGCCAGGGCACAAACUGGGAUUAGAUACCCCACUAUGCCUAGCCCUAAAUCUCGAUGCUUGCCCCACUAAAGCAUCCGCCUGAGAACUACGAGCACAAACGCUUAAAACUCUAAGGACUUGGCGGUGCCCCAAACCCACCUAGAGGAGCCUGUUCUGUAAUCGACAACCCACGAUGCACCCGACCACUUCUUGCCAAAACAGCCUACAUACCGCCGUCGCCAGUUCACCUCCACUGAGAGCACAGCAGUGAACACAAUUGCCCUAACCCCGCCAGCACGACAGGUCAAGGUAUAGCCUAUGAAGUGGAAGAAAUGGGCUACAUUUUCUAACUUAGAAUACCCCUACUAAACGAAAGGGAGCGUGAAAUAUCUCCCAGAAGGCGGAUUUAGCAGUAAAGCGGGAUAAUAAAGCCCCCUUAAAACCGGCUCUGAGGCACGUACAUACCGCCCGUCACCCUCCUCACAAGCCUUAAGUUCUUAUAAAUAAUACACCCACCUGCCAAAGAUGAGGUAAGUCGUAACAAGGUAAGUGUACCGG
RNAcentral lists this ribosomal RNA (700 nucleotides) under Pampusana jobiensis. Its description in RNAcentral is "partial 12S ribosomal RNA". It matches the Rfam family "Bacterial small subunit ribosomal RNA", at positions 521 to 1508 of the family's 1533-position model. The record is from RNAcentral. Lineage: Eukaryota; Metazoa; Chordata; Aves; Columbiformes; Columbidae.